ACAAAAAAACUCAUCCCCCUUCCCCUUUCCUUCUCCUUGAUGCCACCUCCCUCUCCCCCUGCACCUUCCUUCUUCCAGUCGCUCCCUCUUGCCACCUUUCCGUUCCUCUCCUGCCGUGAUUGCUCCACAUCACCAGCCCGUCGCCACCGUCCACGUCGCCUCUUGCCAUCGAGGAAGAGCUGUUCACGAGGAGGAAGCUUCCUCUCUUGCUACUGAGCCCAAAAAGCCACAUGUCGCCGUCCUUUCGCCAAUCUGACGUUGGAAUUGAGUCCCUCGCCCUCCAAAAGCUAGGAACAGCUCCUCCCUAUCCCCAUUCCUCCAUCAGCACCCUUGGGAGAGCCUUACCGAAGUAGCAACAUUCUCACCGCGAUCUAGCGGUUUUCAGUAAAGGCUAGGCUGUGAUUUUGUUGUUUUUGGCUUCAACAUGUUUCAAGCUUUCGGAUUUGAAUUCCAAAACCGUUGGCGGUAUCGGCUUUCAGACCCUGGUAUUUUUCAAACGCGCAUAAUUUCGGAGUUUCAUCUCGGAUGAGGCAACAUUACAACAUACCACCUGAUGGGCUACCUCAGGAUUGCGUGCACACCGGUGAAAAUCAGCAUCAGGUAAUAGAGGAAUAUUCAAUGAUGUGCCCUAGUCGAGCACAACUCCCUGGGCUUAUGGAAGUCUGAUUUGCCGGAGAAAGAUCUCUGGUCGAGCGUUGCUCUCUAAGCACUGGCUAUAUUAGUAUUAAGUGACCUGACUGAACUUAAGGACCAUAGUCGAGCUUUACUCUCUAGGCGCCAGUCUUAUUGGAUUAAUAGAGCCGAAAGGCUGCUAGAAUUAGAGAUUUAGAGUUCUCUUGAAGUACUCAUCCUGUGUAUGUUAAAAUCACAUAUCCUUUUUAAAUUACAAUAUGACACGCAUUUGUUAUUUUGAGAUAUUAUGUACUAUUAAAUAAUUAUUUUA
Molecule: long non-coding RNA, 943 nt
Organism: Ricinus communis (castor bean)
Lineage: Eukaryota; Viridiplantae; Streptophyta; Magnoliopsida; Malpighiales; Euphorbiaceae
Exons: 2
Source: RefSeq, a predicted model, not a curated record